Molecule: ribosomal RNA, 535 nt
Filed under: uncultured Hypocreales
Lineage: Eukaryota; Fungi; Ascomycota; Sordariomycetes; Hypocreales
Description: eukaryotic LSU rRNA
Rfam family: 5.8S ribosomal RNA (bases 177-330)
Source: RNAcentral
GCGGAGGAUCAUUACAGAGAAUGUGCCCUUCGGGGUGUAUCUCCCACCCUUUGUUUACAAUACCUUUGUUGCUUUGGCAGGCCUGUCUAAUGACUACUGGCUUUUGCUGGUUAGUGCCUGCCAGAGGACCUCAACACUCAUAAUUUUGUUGUCUGAGUACUUGCAUAAUAGUUAAAAACUUUCAACAACGGAUCUCUUGGUUCUGGCAUCGAUGAAGAACGCAGCGAAAUGCGAUAAGUAAUGUGAAUUGCAGAAUUCAGUGAAUCAUCGAAUCUUUGAACGCACAUUGCGCCCGCCAGUAUUCUGGCGGGCAUGCCUGUUCGAGCGUCAUUUCAACCCUCAAGCCCCCGGGCUUGGUGUUGGAGAUCGGCGUGCCCCCCGGGGCGCGCCGGCUCCCAAAUAUAGUGGCGGUCUCGCUGUAGCUUCCUCUGCGUAGUAGCACACCUCGCACUGGAAAACAGCGUGGCCACGCCGUUAAACCCCCCACUUCUGAAAGGUUGACCUCGGAUCAGGUAGGAAUACCCGCUGAACUUAA